GACAACGCUGGCGGCGUGCCUAACACAUGCAAGGUCGAGCGGGGUCUAUGCGGUAGCUUGCUACUGAAUAGACUUAGCGGCGGACGGGUGAGUAACACGUGGGUAACCUGCCUCACACAACGGGAUAACACUGGGAAACUAGUGCUAAUACCGUAUAACAUAUGCCUGGGGGCAUCCCGGGCAUAUCAAAGGCACUGAAAAGGGAGCUGGUGUGAGAUGGGCCCGCGGCCGAUUAGCUAGUUGGCAGGGUAAUGGCCUACCAAGGCGACGAUCGGUAGCCGGACUGAGAGGUUGGCCGGCCACAUUGGGACUGAGACACGGCCCAGACUCCUACGGGAGGCAGCAGUGGGGAAUAUUGCGCAAUGGGGGGAACCCUGACGCAGCGACGCCGCGUGAAGGAAGAAGGCCUUCGGGUUGUAAACUUCUUUGACUGGGGACGAAGGAAGUGACGGUACCCAGGGAACAAGCCACGGCUAACUACGUG
Molecule: ribosomal RNA, 484 nt
Filed under: uncultured bacterium
Lineage: Bacteria
Description: bacterial SSU rRNA
Rfam family: Bacterial small subunit ribosomal RNA
Source: RNAcentral